CCCUUAGAUGUUCGGGGCCGCACGCGCGCUACACUGAAGGAAUCAGCACGUCUUUCUCCUUGUCCGAAAGGACUGGGUAACCCGCUGAACCUCCUUCGUGCUAGGGAUUGGGGCUUGUAAUUCUUCCCCAUGAACGAAGAAUUCCCAGUAAGCGCGAGUCAUAAGCUCGCGUUGAUUACGUCCCUGCCCUUUGUACACACCGCCCGUCGCUACUACCGAUUGGAUGGUUUAGUGAGAUCCUCGGAUUGGUCCCGGCGCGGCCUCUGGUCGUGCCGGAGUGCCGAAAAGAAUGUCGAACUUGAUCAUCUAGAGGAAGUAAAAGUCGUAACA
Molecule: ribosomal RNA, 330 nt
Filed under: uncultured eukaryote
Lineage: Eukaryota
Description: partial 18S ribosomal RNA
Rfam family: Eukaryotic small subunit ribosomal RNA
Source: RNAcentral